UUGAAAGGGAAACGAUUGAAGUCAGUCGUACCGACGAGAAAUCAACUUAUCGUGUGCGAACUUGUGGGCGUGCGUGAGUUUCGGCCUCGCUGUUUGCAUGUUUGUGCGUUUUGGGUGUACUUUUUCGUAUGAUAGGCCAACAUCAGUUUCGAUUACUAUAAAAUGACCGGCGGAAUGUAGCUUCGAUUUCGGUUGAAGUGUUAUAGCCUCUGGUAGAUGUGGUGAUUGGGACUGAGGAUUGCAACGAAUAUCCUUUGGGCUAUCCGUCUGAUCUCUGAAAGUUGCUCAGGUGCCGAAAGCGUGCUUACGGUCAUCUAAGUUGACGGUCAAAAGGUUAGAACGUGAUUACAUUCGUUAAGGAUGUUGACGUA
RNAcentral lists this ribosomal RNA (371 nucleotides) under Glomus sp. rp22. RNAcentral describes it as "eukaryotic LSU rRNA". The record is from RNAcentral. Lineage: Eukaryota; Fungi; Glomeromycota; Glomeromycetes; Glomerales; Glomeraceae.